Molecule: ribosomal RNA, 1489 nt
Filed under: uncultured bacterium
Lineage: Bacteria
Description: bacterial SSU rRNA
Rfam family: Bacterial small subunit ribosomal RNA
Source: RNAcentral
AGAGUUUGAUCCUGGCUCAGGAUGAACGCUAGCUACAGGCUUAACACAUGCAAGUCGAGGGGCAGCAUGGUCUUAGCUUGCUAAGGCCGAUGGCGACCGGCGCACGGGUGAGUAACACGUAUCCAACCUGCCGUCUACUCUUGGACAGCCUUCUGAAAGGAAGAUUAAUACAAGAUGGCAUCAUGAGUCCGCAUGUUCACAUGAUUAAAGGUAUUCCGGUAGACGAUGGGGAUGCGUUCCAUUAGAUAGUAGGCGGGGUAACGGCCCACCUAGUCUUCGAUGGAUAGGGGUUCUGAGAGGAAGGUCCCCCACAUUGGAACUGAGACACGGUCCAAACUCCUACGGGAGGCAGCAGUGAGGAAUAUUGGUCAAUGGGCGAGAGCCUGAACCAGCCAAGUAGCGUGAAGGAUGACUGCCCUAUGGGUUGUAAACUUCUUUUAUAAAGGAAUAAAGUCGGGUAUGGAUACCCGUUUGCAUGUACUUUAUGAAUAAGGAUCGGCUAACUCCGUGCCAGCAGCCGCGGUAAUACGGAGGAUCCGAGCGUUAUCCGGAUUUAUUGGGUUUAAAGGGAGCGUAGAUGGAUGUUUAAGUCAGUUGUGAAAGUUUGCGGCUCAACCGUAAAAUUGCAGUUGAUACUGGAUAUCUUGAGUGCAGUUGAGGCAGGCGGAAUUCGUGGUGUAGCGGUGAAAUGCUUAGAUAUCACGAAGAACUCCGAUUGCGAAGGCAGCCUGCUAAGCUGCAACUGACAUUGAGGCUCGAAAGUGUGGGUAUCAAACAGGAUUAGAUACCCUGGUAGUCCACACGGUAAACGAUGAAUACUCGCUGUUUGCGAUAUACUGCAAGCGGCCAAGCGAAAGCGUUAAGUAUUCCACCUGGGGAGUACGCCGGCAACGGUGAAACUCAAAGGAAUUGACGGGGGCCCGCACAAGCGGAGGAACAUGUGGUUUAAUUCGAUGAUACGCGAGGAACCUUACCCGGGCUUAAAUUGCAGAUGAAUUACGGUGAAAGCCGUAAGCCGCAAGGCAUCUGUGAAGGUGCUGCAUGGUUGUCGUCAGCUCGUGCCGUGAGGUGUCGGCUUAAGUGCCAUAACGAGCGCAACCCUUGUUGUCAGUUACUAACAGGUUCCGCUGAGGACUCUGACAAGACUGCCAUCGUAAGAUGUGAGGAAGGUGGGGAUGACGUCAGAUCAGCACGGCCCUUACGUCCGGGGCUACACACGUGUUACAAUGGGGGGUACAGAGGGCCGCUACCACGCGAGUGGAUGCCAAUCCCCAAAACCUCUCUCAGUUCGGACUGGAGUCUGCAACCCGACUCCACGAAGCUGGAUUCGCUAGUAAUCGCGCAUCAGCCACGGCGCGGUGAAUACGUUCCCGGGCCUUGUACACACCGCCCGUCAAGCCAUGGGAGCCGGGGGUACCUGAAGUGCGUAACCGCGAGGAGCGCCCUAGGGUAAAACUGGUGACUGGGGCUAAGUCGUAACAAGGUAGCC